UGGCUGAUCGACGAUUGAAAAUUAUUCUAGGGUAUAACCGUCAAUUCGAUUGAUGAUUAACCUUGCACAAAGGUUGUAAUAAAUUAAUUCACUAAUAGUUGAUAAAUUAUAAAAAGAUUGAUUAGCGAUUAGAUUACUAAUUAGCUCAAUUUGAUUAAGCAUUGAGGUUUGGAUCAAGUCUAAUUGAAUUAGAUUCAAUUAGGUUUGAUUCGAUUAGGUUAUAAGAUGACCU
RNAcentral lists this long non-coding RNA (232 nucleotides) under Elaeis guineensis (African oil palm). RNAcentral's name for it is "long non-coding RNA (EGUI_LNC056787)". The record is from RNAcentral. Lineage: Eukaryota; Viridiplantae; Streptophyta; Magnoliopsida; Arecales; Arecaceae.